GACGAACGCUGGCGGCGUGCCUAACACAUGCAAGUCGAACGGGGUAUUUCUUCGGAGGUACUUAGUGGCGAACGGGUGAGUAACGCGUGAGAACCCUGCCUUUCAGUGGGGGACAACAGUUGGAAACGACUGCUAAUACCACAUAAUGUUAUUUGGGGGCAUCCUCGAAUAACCAAAGGUUUAUUGCUGAAAGAUGGUCUCGCGUCUGAUUAGCUAGAUGGCGGGGUAACGGCCUACCAAGCCGACGAUCAGUAGCCGACCUGAGAGGGUGACCGGCCACAUUGGGACUGAGACACGGCUCAA
This 303-nucleotide ribosomal RNA is filed under the name uncultured bacterium. RNAcentral describes it as "bacterial SSU rRNA". It matches the Rfam family "Bacterial small subunit ribosomal RNA", at positions 28 to 334 of the family's 1533-position model. The record is from RNAcentral.